UCUAAGUAAAGGUGCAAAUCUUUUUGGGCACUGGCUUCACUUACAAUUAAGUACCAUGGAUAAGGUGUUUGUUCUGUAAUCUGUUUUAAGACCACCUCAACUCUCAUACACACCUUGGAUCGGCAAACAUCCCACCUUGAGGAUGUAAGAAGAUAUUUUAGAGGUGUCUUCUCUUUAUCACCACCCGAUGGUGCAUCUCGAAGGAUGCUGCUUACCUGUUCUCUUUAUCACCACCCAACGCGUGCUCAGGUGCACGGCAGUGUCAUCCCCCAUUGCUUAGACAUGCUUGUGCGGAGUGAGAGGCAGGCAGAGGGCUUGUGCAGAGAGGAGACCAGAGAGGCAGUAAAAGUCAGCAGUGGUAACCUUGUCCGCCCAUGGUCACGGGUCAUUUGGCAAGUGCGCUACGGAAUUCAUUUCACUAAGAAGGAGAGAAUGCGAGGGGAGAGCGAACGAGAGGAAAUAGGAGGUGACUGAGAGGGACAUUGAUGGAGCAAGAAGGAGAAGAAGAAUUUGAAUAGCAACAACAGCCUGAUGUCUCUUUUAACCUUUUUUAUCCAUAAACAUGGCAGCAUUAGGCUGUUUAAUGAUCAUUGUGCAGCUAUUUCUAAUGGAUUAUCUUAGUAAACAUCACAUCACCAUAGUAUUUUUAGACGCUUUUGCAUUCUGCCAAAAUGCUUAUGUAAAUGGAGUGUUUGGCCAAAAUUGCCUCCAAGUGCACAUCAUAUAUAUAUACAUUCAUUAGUGCUGUCAAGCAAUUAGUCACAAUUAAUCGCAUCCAGAAUAAAAGUUUUUGUUUACGUAAUAUAUGUGUGUGUACUGUGUAUAUGUAUUAUGUAUAUAUAAAUACACACAAAUGCAUAUAUUUAAGAAAAAUAUGUUAUGUUUGUAUAUUAAAUAUAUGUGUUUAUAUAAUAUAAAUAUGAACAUAAACAUAUAUUUGUAAAUACAUGUAAAUAUUUUCAAAAUAUAUGCUGUGUGUGAGUGAGUGUGUGUGUGUGUAUAUAUAUAUAUAUAUAUAUAUAUAUAUAUAUAUAUAUAUAUAUAUAUAUAUAUAUAUAUCUCAAAUUUGCACUUACAUGCAUUUACUUUACUAAUAACUGUAAAUUAUUCAUAAUUAAGGAGAUACUGAUUUGAAUAGCAGCAAUUGUACUUUUACAAAACCCUGAUGUCACGUUAAACCUUUUUAAUCAAUAUACAAGGCUGAAUUUUGAAUUUUGUUGCUAUUUCUGAUUUAUCAUCUUAGUAAACAUCAUUGGUCAUACUUUCAGGCACUUUUGCACUCUGCCAAAAGUCAUUUUCAGUGUGUUAAUAAUAAUUGUUUGGCCAAAAUGGUCCCCAUGUGCACUUCACUGUUUGCUUUUUCACUCAAUAAGUAUUUGAAACAUGCCAUGAUUUUUGAUUAACAAGAACAAGUUUGUUCCAUACAGGCAGUUUGGCAAUAAGACAUUGAGUUAGCAUAACUCUUAUGACUGUGUUGCCACAGCUUUUCCGACGCAAGAAACAAAAGUAUCCUAUUUGUUUAUAAUCCAUGCCCGUUUUUUUUCUAAAACUGGCCUUCCCAGCCUGCAUGUAUGAGGUUAUUGUUGAGACUAUGCUGAGCUUUGACACGUACAUCUUUGAAAACAGAAAGGAAUAUCAGUAGACAUUCCUUGAGAAAUUAGAGAGCACAACUCAAGUUGGG
Molecule: long non-coding RNA, 1681 nt
Organism: Cyprinus carpio carpio
Lineage: Eukaryota; Metazoa; Chordata; Actinopteri; Cypriniformes; Cyprinidae
Source: Ensembl